Long non-coding RNA from Rosa rugosa (rugosa rose), 631 nucleotides. RefSeq lists it as uncharacterized. NCBI's taxonomy places the organism in Eukaryota, Viridiplantae, Streptophyta, Magnoliopsida, Rosales, Rosaceae. The record is from RefSeq and is a predicted model, not a curated record. The transcript has 3 exons.
UGGGAGAGGAUGAAACUCUAUUAUGAUGGUCUGUGACUCGAAGAGACAAACAAUUUGCAACUUUGGUACUAAUUUGUUGGAAUUUGAUUUUAGGGAGUUUUCUCCAUGCCACUUUGAGUACUGCUACACAAGUACCCAGUCCCUCAAUUGUUUUCGUCAAUACGUGAUAAGUACUGGGAUACAAUGCAUGAGAUAACUCUCGGGGUGGCUCGCGGAAUUGAGUAUCUCCACCAGGGAUGUGAGAUGCAAAUUCUACAUUUUGACAUUAAGCCCACACAUUCUUCUUCACAAAAACUUCAAGUCCAUAAUUUCAGACUUCAGGCUUGCAAGAUUCUACCUGAGAGACCAAAACACAGUAUUUGUUACAUGUGCAAGAGGCAGAAGGGGAUACGUAGCACCAGAAAUGCACUAGAAAAUCAUUGGAGGUGUCUCUUACAAAUUAAGCUGAUGUUUAUAAAUGGCGGGACGGAGAAACUGAGAAAGAACCUAAAUGCACACGUAGAAAUGUCUCUUACCACUGUCCACAAUAUAUGACAAGGAAGGAUCUACCAGAUGAGGCAGAUAAUGAGGAGGUGUCUACACUGUCACAUAUUCACAGAAAGCUACAGAAUCAGCCCCCAUGGUAGACGAG